This 65-nucleotide transfer RNA is filed under the name Dipodomys ordii (Ord's kangaroo rat). It matches the Rfam family "tRNA". Rfam says of the family: Transfer RNA (tRNA) molecules are approximately 80 nucleotides in length. Their secondary structure includes four short double-helical elements and three loops (D, anti-codon, and T loops). Lineage: Eukaryota; Metazoa; Chordata; Mammalia; Rodentia; Heteromyidae. The record is from Rfam by way of RNAcentral.
GGUGGCUCAGUGGUAGAGAGCUUGCCUUUCAUGCGUGAGGCCCUGGGUUCGAUUCCCCAGCACCA